UACGUAGGGUGCAAGCGUUGUCCGGAAUUAUUGGGCGUAAAGAGCUCGUAGGCGGUUUGUCGCGUCUGCUGUGAAAAUCCAGGGCUUAACCCUGGACCUGCAGUGGGUACGGGCAGACUGGAGUGCGGUAGGGGAGACUGGAAUUCCUGGUGUAGCGGUGAAAUGCGCAGAUAUCAGGAGGAACACCGGUGGCGAAGGCGGGUCUCUGGGCCGAUACUGACGCUGAGGAGCGAAAGCGUGGGGAGCGAACAGG
RNAcentral lists this ribosomal RNA (253 nucleotides) under uncultured bacterium. RNAcentral's name for it is "partial 16S ribosomal RNA". It matches the Rfam family "Bacterial small subunit ribosomal RNA", at positions 524 to 776 of the family's 1533-position model. The record is from RNAcentral.